ACUGGAAGUCUAUAAAAGGAAUGGUCUCUCACUAGAGAUUUUGAGAGGAGACCACAAGAAGGCAGCAAGGAUGUGCAAAAAGUGAAGAGUGAAACAAAGGAUCAUGCACUCAGAAAACACUGACCAAAUCCCAAAGACAACUCUGGAGUGGUGAGGAAACUGAAGCAGGGAAUGGCUUACUGUGUUUAUUGUUUUUCCUAGCAUCAAGCCUAGUACCGAUCCCUGCAGAACCCCACUGGAAACACUCCUAUUCAAUGGUGAUUCCCCAUUCACAGCUACUUUUUGAGGUCCAGCAGAUAUACAGUAUCCAUAAACAACAUGUUACUUGGAUUAAGAACUGGCUAAAGAGGACCCCUGCCACAUUGAGUGCACAGGAUGGAUGGUGCUGUGGGAAUGAGUCAGAGUUGUGCAGUGAAUAAGGCUGCUGUUUGAAGAAUUUCCAACAAAAAAGGUUACCUUAAACCACUAAUUUCACUGAACUGAUGUUUCAACACAACAUGCUGCACAGGACAUGAAAGCUGCCAAGAAUACAUCAGCACUAAAGCCUUUAUUCUGCAUUGAAAUAUUUAUAUUUUUUGCUCUAAUAAGGUUCCAGCUAAAUAAAACUGUAAUAAAUUUCAGAAUUCCUUAUAAACUUCCUCCAUAUUUAGGUCCCAUAUUUAGAGUAGUGGAAGGAACAAAAACAAAGGUGAUAACUGUGAGGAGAACUACCACCUGAAGAAUCCAGGAAGAUCCAGAGAUUUUUUAUGAAAAAUGAAAGUAGUAGGUUAUUUAGUGCUAGUGUAACCCACAUGCUUUAUGCUGCAGCAUUUGGUUUAAAAGCAGUGGGGAGAGACAUCGGGCUUGUCUACAUGGGGAAAUUAGUGCACAAUAAAUUUAGGGUGUGUUUUAUUAAUUUAGAUGGACUAUAUGGGUACAAAGAGUCUAAGGUAUUAACAUAACCCAGUCACUGUCCAACAUUAAACAGUUUUAAACAAGGUUCAGGUUUGGUAUACAGAGUCCUCAGCCUGCUUAGUAUCAUGACAAACACACCAUUAAAUGUCUUUCUAACCCUUUAUUAAAGAUAUAGAAAAGGAAGGGGAAAUGAGGGAGGUUAAAGCAUUCAAAAUGUAAAGCAUUAAAUAAGGCUUUCAUUUUAACCAUAUCGCAUGUUCUCUUUCCCUUUAGCUGGAAACAAUCUUUUAGAAAGAACAAAACUUUCUGAUAGUCUCUUGGGUGAUAUUAAAGAUGGUAACUGUCCUUUUGGGGAAAAGAGAAGUUAGUUACGAUGGGCUGGAGCUGUCAUUGUUAAAGUCUGAUCCUUCCUGUUUCCUAGAAAGCAAAAAAAGACAAACACAGAUAAGAGGGGAGAGCAGAAAACAGUAAAGAUAGAAAAUGCAGCUUGUCUCUGGUGUUUUUCACUUGCAGCCUCACUGCUGGAAAAAUGCAAGCCCAGCACAUGGUCUUAUCAGCCACUCUGAGACCUGGCAAUCUUGUACUAGCAUUGGGCUGUUAUGGACAUUGCAUGUAACUGCCUCUUUCUGGUCACAGACUAAGUCAAACUCUUAUUAGACAGAAGGAAAAUGAAGAGAGAUAGGAAAGAGAAGAAGUAAGCUGAGGAAGGAAAAGGCCACAUGGGGGGACAACAAAGUCUCAUAUCCCAGAUGGUGGUAAGGAUUAAGCUGAAGCCGGCAGAGGUGGCAGUAUCAUCUGGAUCCCCCUCUCUGAAGGUCUAGGGUCCCAGGAGAUGAUGGGGUAGCCAUGAUGCUGAAGCUUACUCCAGUAGCUAAGGACCCAGAAGGGGAAAUGGUAUUUGGAAUAGCCCAUGCCAUCAUUAUUUUGUCCACCAAUUAGGCCUAAUUUCUGACACACUAAUUUUGGUUCAUUGAUUCCUGGUUCUACACUUCUCUUGUUUAUCAAAGCACGAUCUUAACACAGUCUUUAAGUUACAUCAGCAGACCUUUUUGUUUGGAUAAUUAAGUCUGUCUCGCUUUUGCACCUGUGAUGCUGAGCCAGCAAGGGUUAAGCAACCAACAGGCUGACUGACAUGAAAACAACCUUUAAGGACACAUUAGAGUACAAAAAUGGGAAAGAGGGCUAUUCCUUGUGGAUAAUUAACAAAGCCAUAUCUUCAUUUCUCUUUGAAAUUUGUGACUCCACAUAGUAAAACUUCUUCAUCCAAGGAAGGCCUGCUGUGAUCAUUUGCUGCCAAGAGUCUUAUCCACUGAGCUUCAAGCUAUAAGGGAAGUUUCAGGCCUGAUUCUUGCUAUCUCAAAUCUGCUUAAAUUUUGACAGGGGAAGUCUAAAGCCACAAGACUGAGGUCUCCAGGUCUACUCUGGUUGACGCCUGCAAUUCUUGUGCAGAGUUUGUUCAAAUUCUUCCAUAUGAGCUGCCUAUUGAACUAUAACCUUAACAUUGAUUACAGAAGGAUUUUUACAAAUCAGCAGCCUCACCACAUC
Long non-coding RNA from Mauremys reevesii (Reeves's turtle), 2439 nucleotides. RefSeq lists it as uncharacterized. The record is from RefSeq and is a predicted model, not a curated record. NCBI's taxonomy places the organism in Eukaryota, Metazoa, Chordata, Testudines, Geoemydidae. The transcript is spliced from 3 exons.